UACGUAGGGUGCGAGCGUUGUCCGGAAUUACUGGGCGUAAAGAGCUCGUAGGUGGUUUGUCGCGUUGUUCGUGAAAACUCACAGCUUAACUGUGGGCGUGCGGGCGAUACGGGCAGACUGGAGUACUGCAGGGGAGACUGGAAUUCCUGGUGUAGCGGUGAAAUGCGUAGAUAUCUGGAGGAAUACCGGUGGCGAAGGCGGCAUCCUGGACCGGCAUUGACGCUGAGGAGCGAAAGCUAGGGGAGCAAACGGG
RNAcentral lists this ribosomal RNA (253 nucleotides) under uncultured bacterium. RNAcentral describes it as "partial 16S ribosomal RNA". It matches the Rfam family "Bacterial small subunit ribosomal RNA", at positions 524 to 776 of the family's 1533-position model. The record is from RNAcentral.